RNAcentral lists this long non-coding RNA (1253 nucleotides) under Sus scrofa (pig). RNAcentral's name for it is "lncRNA (ENSSSCG00060036318.1)". The record is from RNAcentral. Lineage: Eukaryota; Metazoa; Chordata; Mammalia; Artiodactyla; Suidae.
UUCUAUUUUUUUUUUUUUUAAAAAAGUCAUUUCUCAUUAGGAAUGUGUCAAACUGAAUGAAAAAGGACUAUUAACAGAUGCCACUAUGGAGAUGACAUAGGUGUUAGAAUUAUCUGACAGGGAUUUUAAAGCAGUUAUCAUAAAGUGAUUCAACAAACACUUAGGAGCACAUUUAAAGAAAUGAAAAAAAAAAUGAAAGUCUCAGAAAAGAAAAAAAAAGAAAGUCUCAGAUGAGGGUAAGAAACAUCAAAUGGAAAUUUUAAAGCUAAAAAAUACAUUAGCUCAAUGGGUGGACUUAAAAGCAGAAUAGAGAAAACAGGUGGAAGACUGUGAACUUGAAGAAAAAAAAUGAUAGAAAUUACUGCAUCUGAACAAAAGAGAAAAUAGUAUCUGAUAUGUUUUUAUCAAUGUACAUAUAUGUCUGUUUUCUCCCAAUGUAGCUUAUAUAUUUAUUUAACAUUAGAGCAUAUGAUAUUUUUAUUCCAGCUGUAAGUGUUGUAAGUGCUCUUUUCCUCUUAAAAGUCAUGGCUACUAUAUACCAGAUGCCCUAAUAGUAUGAUGAAGACUUUGUAACCCUUUGAAAAGUGUAUAUUAGCAUUACAGGCCAUCUACUCUAUGUAUUGUGACUUGGCCUUGAGAACACUCUAAGUAGAACUCAUAAACAUACCCAAUAUUUGAAGGUAAUAAGAGUCACAAAACUAGUUUCUUGGUCUCAGGAUUAUUUUGGGCAGGGAUUGUUAAGUAGAAAUUCCAGAGACUUUCACAUUCUCUGCUUUAUUCUCUCUUCAAAUGCUGCUAUGUGGUUGUCUGAUAGGUAGCAGAGAAUUAAAAGACACUCAGGUAGACAACCUCCAGAUUUCCCUUCCUUUAUUUCAGUUGUUUUUGGAGGAAAUACAUAGUGGCAGUGAGGGGAAUGAGAUUCCGAAUCAGACAAUCAGGUUUUAAAUUCCAUCGCUCUCACUUGCUAAAUAUGUGACAUUGGACAAGGUAUUUAACUGCUUAUAACCCAGUUUCCCAUGUAUAAAAGUCUGGCAAAUUCCCAUUGUGGCUCAGUGGGUUAAGAAUCUGACAUAGUGUCCAUGAGGAUGCAGGAUCCAUCCCUGGCCUCACAUAGUGGGUUAAGGAUCCAGCAUUGCUGCAAGCUACAGCAUAGGUCAUAUAUGAAGCUCAGAUCCAGUGUUGUACUGUAGGGCUGCAGCUGCAGCUCUGACUCGACCCCUAGCCUGGGAACUUUCAUAUGACCCAGGUGUGGC